Molecule: long non-coding RNA, 2292 nt
Organism: Homo sapiens (human)
Lineage: Eukaryota; Metazoa; Chordata; Mammalia; Primates; Hominidae
Exons: 3
Source: RefSeq, a predicted model, not a curated record
AUUUCUUCUUUGUGUUAUCUUGAAUUUCACGUGUUUCCCCAAUAUGGCUAUUUCGAAGUGUCUGUCUGAAAGCUCACAUAUCUCUGUCUCUCCAGGAUUGGCCCCCGAUGGCUUGUUUAGUUCAUUUGUUGAGAUCAUGUUUUCCUGAAUGAUCUUGAUGCUUGUGGAUAUUCACUGGUCUCUAGGCAUUGAAUAGUUAAGUAUUUAUUACAGUCUUCACAGUCUGCACUUGUUUGUACCUAUCCUGCUUAGAAAGGCUUUCCAGGCAUUUGAAUGGAGUUGGGUGUUGUAAUCGAAACUGCAGUUUGAUCACUGCAGUCAUAUCUGCAUUAGAGGGCACCCCAAGCUCAGCAACGCUGUGGCUCUUGCAGACUCAUAGAAGUACCACCUUGGUGGUCUUAGACAAGAUCUGGAAGAAUUUUCUGGGUUACCAGGCAGAGACUCUUGUUCUCUUCCCUUACUUUCUUUCAAACAAACGGAGUCUCUCUGUGCCAAGCUGCCUGGAGCUGGGGCAUGGGUGAAACAAGCCACCACUUCUUGACCUCUGUGACCACCAUCUCUGGGACUGCACUGCAUCAGACCUGAAGCCAGCAUGGUACUGGGUCUCACCCAAGGCCCAUAGUAACCAUUGCCUGGCUACUGCUGAUGUUUUCUCAAGGCCCUAGGGCUCUACAAUCAGCAUAUGGGAAAGCCAGCCAGGCUUGUGUCCUCCCCUUCAGAACAGCAAGUCCCCCCUAGCCCUGGGUAGGUCCAGAAAUGGCAUCUGAGAGCCAGGGUCUGGAGUCAGAAACCUUAGGGAUCUAACUUGCUGUAUUAUACUAAGGCUGAGCUGGCACAUAAGCCACAAUACAACUUCUUUCCUACUCUUUCCUCCUCUUUCCACAAGUUGAGAAGUCUCUCCCUAUGGCCACCACCAGCCCAGGCCUAUGGCAAACACUGCCUGGCUACACUGAUGUUCACUCAAGGCCCAAGGACUCUUCAGUCAGCUUGUGAUGAAUGCUGCCAGGCCUGAGUCUCUUCCUUUAGGGCAGUGGGCUCAAUCCUGGCCUUGAGUAGGUUCAGAAAUGUCACCUACAAGCCAAGGCCUUGAAUCAGGAACCCCCAUGUCCCUGCUUAGUCCUCUACCCUACUGUGGCUGAGUUGGUACCUAAGCUGCAUGACAAAGUCCCCUUUACUCUUUGCUCUCCUUUUCUCAGGCAGAAGAAGCCUCUUCUCACAGCAACCAUAGCAUGGGAACGUGUGGAUCACAUUUAACCCAGCAUGUCUCUGAGUCUUACCCAAGGCUCACACACACAGAUUCUGUCUCUGCGCCACACAGCCACUGCUGGGGGAUGGAGGAGGGAUGCUGUCAGCAAUUCAAGACUGUAAUUUCUACCCUCUUCAGUGCCUUUUUCUGUGAUACACAGUUAAAAUCAGUGGGUUUCAAAGCCACUUCAAACUGCCUGCAAAUGGUGGACCCCAAUCAAAGAGUUAGUGAAGUUUUUCCUUAAAAUAAGACUCCCAACACAUCCCUCACUCUGUGUGGGGAUUAGGAGUCUUAGUAGAAACUGCGUAUGACAUUCAGCCAGCCACGCUAGAUUCAGAGAGAUUUCACAGCAGUUGAACUCUCUCCUCCUGACAUCUAUGCCUGAAAGCACAGAUAUCCUAGCUGGUUAAAGGGCAGUAUGCAUUGCUUCUUCCAGGAAAAGGCCAACACCUCCCACUGUUGAAAGUAUCUUCACACUCUCAAUUCAUCCUAAUGCAAACUAGGACGGUGGCAGAGAAUGCCAACAGCCCGGCCGUCUUCCUGGAAAACUGGUCUGCAUGGAAGGAGCAUGAUCUCCCCUCUUGUCAGAAGGGCUCAUGGAGGUCAAAGGUACUUGGAGUUUGUGAGGUUCCCAUGAUCCUGUGUAAAGCAGGAUGCGAGUUCAUUCCCAGUAAACCAAGCCUGAAGGCAUUCUGUGCCCUGUGUCUCCCUGCCAAGACAAGAGAGCUGAAGCCACGUGGUGGUAUGGGUGGGCUGCUGGCCAUGGCUGAACCAGUUGUCAUCAGUGCCAUGGUCUUCAUCAUUGUCUUCGAAGCAGUCGUUCAUGUAACCAACUCUACAUCAGAUACUCUAGUGUUUUGCAAAAUGCUUGGGCUCGAAAGCCCAACUCCUGGUUAGAGUCCUGCCUUUGUCACCUGCUGACUAUGUGACCUCAGGCAAGCUACUUACCCUCUCUGUGCAGCAAUGCACUCAUCUGCAAAAUGGGCAAAGUAAUAGUAAGUACUUAAUUGGGCUGCUAUGAUGGAAUAAAUGAUACGAAGCCCACA